GGGAUAUAGCUCAGUUGGUAGAGCUCCGCUCUUGCAAUCCCUGUGGCGGAUGUCAGCGGUUCGAGUCCGCUUAUCUCCAA
RNAcentral lists this transfer RNA (80 nucleotides) under Tribulus terrestris. Its description in RNAcentral is "tRNA-Ala". It matches the Rfam family "tRNA". Rfam says of the family: Transfer RNA (tRNA) molecules are approximately 80 nucleotides in length. Their secondary structure includes four short double-helical elements and three loops (D, anti-codon, and T loops). The record is from RNAcentral. RNAcentral also lists the same sequence under 1 other name. Lineage: Eukaryota; Viridiplantae; Streptophyta; Magnoliopsida; Zygophyllales; Zygophyllaceae.